UACAGGGGAUGCAAGUGUUAUCCGGAAUUAUUGGGCGUAAAGCGUCUGCAGGUUGAUCUAUAAGUCUUUUGUCAAAUCUUUGGGCUUAACCCAAAAACAGCAAAAGAAACUAUUUAUCUUGAGUAUGGUAGAGGUAAGGGGAAUUUCGAGUGGAGCGGUGAAAUGCGUAGAUAUUCGAAAGAACACCAAUAGCGAAGGCACCUUACUGGGCCAUUACUGACACUCAGAGACGAAAGCUAGGGUAGCAAACGGG
RNAcentral lists this ribosomal RNA (253 nucleotides) under uncultured bacterium. RNAcentral describes it as "partial 16S ribosomal RNA". It matches the Rfam family "Bacterial small subunit ribosomal RNA", at positions 524 to 776 of the family's 1533-position model. The record is from RNAcentral.